AGAGUUUGAUCAUGGCUCAGAGCGAACGCUGGCGGCAGGCCUAACACAUGCAAGUCGAACGGGCACCUUCGGGUGUCAGUGGCAGACGGGUGAGUAACACGUGGGAACGUACCCUUUGGUUCGGGACAACUCCGGGAAACUGGAGCUAAUACCGGAUAAGCCCUUCGGGGGAAAGAUUUAUCGCCAUAGGAUCGGCCCGCGUCUGAUUAGCUUGUUGGUGAGGUAACGGCUCACCAAGGCGACGAUCAGUAGCUGGUCUGAGAGGAUGAUCAGCCACACUGGGACUGAGACACGGCCCAGACUCCUACGGGAGGCAGCAGUGGGGAAUAUUGGACAAUGGGCGCAAGCCUGAUCCAGCCAUGCCGCGUGAGUGAUGAAGGCCCUAGGGUUGUAAAGCUCUUUUAGCGGGGAAGAUAAUGACGGUACCCGCAGAAUAAGCCCCGGCUAACUUCGUGCUAGCAGCCGCGGUAAUACGAAGGGGGCUAGCGUUGCUCGGAAUCACUGGGCGUAAAGGGCGCGUAGGCGGCCAUUCAAGUCGGGGGUGAAAGCCCAGGGCUCAACCCUGGAAUUGCCUUCGAUACUGUUUGGCUAGAGACCGGAAGAGGUUAGUGGAACUGCGAGUGUAGAGGUGAAAUUCGUAGAUAUUCGCAAGAACACCAGUGGCGAAGGCGGCUAACUGGUCCGGUUCUGACGCUGAGGCGCGAAAGCGUGGGGAGCAAACAGGAUUAGAUACCCUAGUAGUCC
Molecule: ribosomal RNA, 744 nt
Filed under: uncultured bacterium
Lineage: Bacteria
Description: bacterial SSU rRNA
Rfam family: Bacterial small subunit ribosomal RNA
Source: RNAcentral